UUUGAUCCUGGCUCAGGACGAACGCUGGCGGCGUGCCUAAUACAUGCAAGUCGAGCGAAUCUUGAGGUGCUUGCACCUCUUGGUUAGCGGCGGACGGGUGAGUAACACGUGGGCAACCUGCCUGUAAGACUGGGAUAACUUCGGGAAACCGGAGCUAAUACCGGAUAAUCCUUUCCCUCACAUGAGGGAAAGCUGAAAGUCGGUUUCGGCUGACACUUACAGAUGGGCCCGCGGCGCAUUAGCUAGUUGGUGAGGUAACGGCUCACCAAGGCGACGAUGCGUAGCCGACCUGAGAGGGUGAUCGGCCACACUGGGACUGAGACACGGCCCAGACUCCUACGGGAGGCAGCAGUAGGGAAUCUUCCGCAAUGGACGAAAGUCUGACGGAGCAACGCCGCGUGAGCGAUGAAGGCCUUCGGGUCGUAAAGCUCUGUUGUUAGGGAAGAACAAGUAUCGGAGUAACUGCCGGUACCUUGACGGUACCUAACCAGAAAGCCACGGCUAACUACGUGCCAGCAGCCGCGGUAAUACGUAGGUGGCAAGCGUUGUCCGGAAUUAUUGGGCGUAAAGCGCGCGCAGGCGGUCCUUUAAGUCUGAUGUGAAAGCCCACGGCUCAACCGUGGAGGGUCAUUGGAAACUGGGGGACUUGAGUGCAGAAGAGGAAAGCGGAAUUCCACGUGUAGCGGUGAAAUGCGUAGAGAUGUGGAGGAACACCAGUGGCGAAGGCGGCUUU
RNAcentral lists this ribosomal RNA (733 nucleotides) under Neobacillus niacini. RNAcentral's name for it is "bacterial SSU rRNA". It matches the Rfam family "Bacterial small subunit ribosomal RNA", at positions 12 to 728 of the family's 1533-position model. Lineage: Bacteria; Bacillati; Bacillota; Bacilli; Caryophanales; Bacillaceae. The record is from RNAcentral.